This 253-nucleotide ribosomal RNA is filed under the name uncultured bacterium. RNAcentral's name for it is "partial 16S ribosomal RNA". It matches the Rfam family "Bacterial small subunit ribosomal RNA", at positions 524 to 776 of the family's 1533-position model. The record is from RNAcentral.
UACGUGAGGGGCGAACGUUGUUCGGUGUCACUGGGCUUAAAGGGUGCGUAGGUGGUUGCGUAAGUAACGUGUGAAAUCCCUCGGCUUACCCGGGGAAUUGCGCGUUAUACUGCGCGACUUGAGGAUUUCAGGGGAAUGGGGAACUCCAGGUGUAGCGGUGAAAUGCGCAGAUAUCUGGGGGAAGGCCGGCGGCGAAGGCGCCAUUCUGGGAAAUUCCUGACACUGAGGCACGAAAGCGUGGGGAGCAAACAGG